GGACUACACGGGUAUCUAAUCCUGUUUGCUCCCCACGCUUUCGCGCCUCAGCGUCAGUAACGGGCCAGUGUGUCGCCUUCGCCACUGGUGUUCUUCCGAAUAUCUACGAAUUUCACCUCUACACUCGGAGUUCCACACACCUCUCCCGCACUCUAGGUGCCCAGUAUCAAAGGCAGUUCCGAGGUUGAGCCCCGGGAUUUGACCUCUGACUUAAACACCCGCCUACGCGCCCUUUACGCCCAGUAAUUCCGAGCAACGCUAGCCCCCUUCGUAUUACCGCGGCUGCUGGCAC
This 292-nucleotide ribosomal RNA is filed under the name uncultured Alphaproteobacteria bacterium. RNAcentral describes it as "partial 16S ribosomal RNA". Lineage: Bacteria; Pseudomonadati; Pseudomonadota; Alphaproteobacteria. The record is from RNAcentral.